UUGCAGUUACAAUAUACAUCGAAAUCCCCUCUGCAUCUACAUAACUCCCACACAGAGAAAACCCCAAACGAAACAACGAUACAGACCAAUCUUCCACAGAGAUCUCCAUGGGACACGGUGAAAAAGGUCGCCAUAGCAAAAAGCACAAAUCUUCUUCCAAGGAGGAUCAUAGGUCCACAGUUGUAGAAGACGAUGAGUCCUAUUAUGUUGAGGAUUUAGAUGAUGAAAGAGAGGGGGCUUUAUCUUGGUGAGUAUAUUUUUAUUUUAUUUGAGAUAAUAUAGAAGUAUAUAUAUCAUAUCAAAUUUAGAAAAAAAAAAUAUGCAAUUGAAUAAAUAUUUUUAUUAGUAGUGUUCCUUAAUUUAAUUUUUAU
Camellia sinensis is the source of this 371-nucleotide non-coding RNA. Lineage: Eukaryota; Viridiplantae; Streptophyta; Magnoliopsida; Ericales; Theaceae. The record is from RefSeq and is a predicted model, not a curated record.